Long non-coding RNA from Lycium barbarum (goji berry), 907 nucleotides. RefSeq lists it as uncharacterized. The transcript has 3 exons. The record is from RefSeq and is a predicted model, not a curated record. Lineage: Eukaryota; Viridiplantae; Streptophyta; Magnoliopsida; Solanales; Solanaceae.
GGUAAAUUUAUAACAUAUUUUGGUUGCUUGUCAUACGUUUUUUUUGCUUUUAGCAAUAAAGUUAUAGACAGAUAUGAAUGCUUACUGGAGAAUUUGCUUACUGAUUUCAGGUUUUGUACCGUGGGAUUAUUAGUUGUUUCAAAGAACUGGCUACGAAUGAAAGUGGAUGUGCAUCUUUGAAUGUUUGCAUCAAUUGUAUCACUAACCCUCUCAAAAGGGAGCUACUUGAAAAAAUUGCAAACCAGUCAGGUUACCUUGCCAAUGAUCCUUGGGGGAACUUUGUUGUGCAGCAUGUUCUUGAACUCGGGGACGAAGAGCUUUCAAGUAAAGUAUUCAGCCAACUUGAGAAGCAGUACUUAACACUAGCCUUCAAAAAAGGUGGUAGCCAUGUUGUUGAGAAAUGCAUAGAGUCAUCAAAAUCUGGAAUGAUUUCAGUAGUUGAUGUUCUUCUAACUGAUGAUAAAGCACUAGUUCAACUUGCCAAAGAUCCCUUCGGCAAUUAUGUGAUUCAGAAAGCAUUGAAAUCCACAAAGGAGUAUGGAGAGGAAACGCGACAUCAAGCUCUAGCCGGAGUUCUAAUGGCACAUAGUUCGUUUUUUGUACACAACAAACCUGGGAAACAUGUGAUCUUCAUUAUCAAAAGUCUAAAUCCAGUUUUUCAGAGAGCCUGGAAUUCAUAAUCAAGACAGUGUUGAGGAAGACAAUCUUGUUUCUGUGUUUUUUGUUUAUGUUACUUCUGUGUAAUAUGUCUCUUCUGUUAGUACUUUGUAACACACAAGGGUGAAUUUGAGAUGAUGCAAAUCAGUGUUCUAAAAUUGUAGUUAGCCGUCAGAAACUAGGAUUUGUUUGAGAUUUGUAGUAUGGCAUUUUGGGUGGUAAUAUUUUGUAAGAGCUUUGUUUAUCGAUA